GAUGAACGCUGGCGGCGUGCCUAAUACAUGCAAGUCGAGCGAACAGACGAGGAGCUUGCUCCUUUGACGUUAGCGGCGGACGGGUGAGUAACACGUGGGUAACCUACCUAUAAGACUGGGAUAACUUCGGGAAACCGGAGCUAAUACCGGAUAAUAUUUCGAACCGCAUGGUUCGAUAGUGAAAGAUGGCUCUGCUAUCACUUAUAGAUGGACCUGCGCCGUAUUAGCUAGUUGGUAAGGUAACGGCUUACCAAGGCAACGAUACGUAGCCGACCUGAGAGGGUGAUCGGCCACACUGGAACUGAGACACGGUCCAGACUCCUACGGGAGGCAGCAGUAGGGAAUCUUCCGCAAUGGGCGAAAGCCUGACGGAGCAACGCCGCGUGAGUGAUGAAGGUCUUCGGAUCGUAAAACUCUGUUGUUAGGGAAGAACAAACGUGUAAGUAACUGUGCACGUCUUGACGGUACCUAAUCAGAAAGCCACGGCUAACUACGUG
This 497-nucleotide ribosomal RNA is filed under the name uncultured bacterium. RNAcentral describes it as "partial 16S ribosomal RNA". It matches the Rfam family "Bacterial small subunit ribosomal RNA", at positions 28 to 507 of the family's 1533-position model. The record is from RNAcentral.